This 364-nucleotide long non-coding RNA is filed under the name Vitis vinifera (wine grape). RNAcentral describes it as "long non-coding RNA (VVIN_LNC005876)". The record is from RNAcentral. Lineage: Eukaryota; Viridiplantae; Streptophyta; Magnoliopsida; Vitales; Vitaceae.
UCUAUUAAAUCAUCCCCACACCCUCCUCUUCUUCUGAUUUCUUCCCUUGCAACCAGACACACUCACUCAGAGACAGUUGAAGGAAAUGGCCAUCGUCACCUCCGCCGCAGUCGCCAUCCCCUCAUUCACCGGCCUCAAGGCCUCCGGCGCAACCAUGACCCGCGCUGCCGCCACCGUCAAGACCAUCACCGCACCGGCCCCGAGGCUCGUGGCCAAGGCUGCACUGAAGGACGUGGGAGUGGCCGUCGUCGCCACCGCCGCCAGCGCUUUGCUCGCCAGCAAUGCCAUGGCCAUGGAGGUCUUGCUCGGCAGCAGCGACGGAGGCCUGGUGUUUGUGCCGUCGACCAUCACCGUCCCCGCCGGA